This 373-nucleotide unclassified non-coding RNA is filed under the name uncultured Gammaproteobacteria bacterium. Its description in RNAcentral is "contains 16S-23S intergenic spacer region". The record is from RNAcentral. Lineage: Bacteria; Pseudomonadati; Pseudomonadota; Gammaproteobacteria.
UCCGGUUUGUCACCGGCAGUCUCAUUAGAGUGCUCUAUCCGUAGCAACUAAUGACAAGGGUUGCGCUCGUUGCGGGACUUAACCCAACAUCUCACGACACGAGCUGACGACAGCCAUGCAGCACCUGUGUUCUGGUUCUCUUGCGAGCACUCCUGAAUCUCUCCAGGAUCCCAGGCAUGUCAAGGGUAGGUAAGGUUUUUCGCGUUGCAUCGAAUUAAUCCACAUCAUCCACCGCUUGUGCGGGUCCCCGUCAAUUCCUUUGAGUUUUAAUCUUGCGACCGUACUCCCCAGGCGGUCAACUUCUCGCGUUAGCUGCGCUACCAAGUUCCGAAAAACCCAACAGCUAGUUGACAUCGUUUAGGGCGUGGACUAC